CCUACGGGUGGCAGCAGUCGGGGAUAUUGCACAAUGGGGGGAACCCUGAUGCAGCGACGCCGCGUGGGUGAAGAAGCGCCUCGGCGCGUAAAGCCCUGUCAGCAGGGAAGAAAAUGACGGUACCUGAAGAAGAAGCCCCGGCUAACUACGUGCCAGCAGCCGCGGUAAUACUGAGGGGGCAAGCGUUAUCCGGGUUUACGGGGUGUAAAGGGGGAGCAGACGGCGAUGCAAGCCAGUAGUGAAAGCCCAGGGCCCAACCCCGGGACUGGUCAUGGAACUGCGUGGCUGGAGGGCAGGAGGGGCAGGCGGAAUUCCUGGUGGAGCGGUGAAAUGCGUAGAUAUCAGGAGGAACACCGGUGGCGAAGGCGGCCUGCUGGACUGCAACUGACGUUGAGGCCCGAAAGCGUGGGGAGCAAACAGGAUUAGAUACCCGAGUAGUC
RNAcentral lists this ribosomal RNA (440 nucleotides) under uncultured bacterium. RNAcentral's name for it is "partial 16S ribosomal RNA". It matches the Rfam family "Bacterial small subunit ribosomal RNA", at positions 338 to 795 of the family's 1533-position model. The record is from RNAcentral.